Molecule: ribosomal RNA, 455 nt
Filed under: uncultured bacterium
Lineage: Bacteria
Description: bacterial SSU rRNA
Rfam family: Bacterial small subunit ribosomal RNA
Source: RNAcentral
CUACGGGAGGCAGCAGUAAGGAAUAUUGCGCAAUGGGCGAAAGCCUGACGCAGCGACGCCGCGUGGGGGAUGAAGGUCUUCGGAUUGUAAACCCCUUUCGGGAGGGAAGAUGGAGCGAGCAAUCGUUCGGACGGUACCUCCAGAAGCAGCCACGGCCAACUUCGUGCCAGCAGCCGCGGUAAUACGAAGGUGGCAAGCGUUGUUCGGAUUCACUGGGCGUACAGGGUGUGUAGGCGGUUUGGUAAGCCUUCUGUUAAAGCUUCGGGCCCAACCCGGAAAGCGCAGAGGGUACUGCCAGGCUAGAGGGUGGGAGAGGGGCGGGGAAUUCCCGGUGUAGCGGUGAAAUGCGUAGAGAUCGGGAGGAAGGCCGGUGGCGAAGGCGGCGCUCUGGAACAUACCUGACGCUGAGACACGAAAGCGUGGGGAGCAAACAGGAUUAGAAACCGUAGUAGUCC